CACUCAUCUAAUUUUAUAAAUUCAUUAAAAUUUAUUCUCCCAUCUCCAUUUUCAUCAAACACACUAAUCAUUCUCCUGCAGUUCUCUAUUUCUAAUCCUUCCUUUAAGCGCAGAGAACAUAGAACCGUUUGCAACUCUCUUGCAUCAAUAAAUCCAUCUUUGUUCUGGUCAAACAUAUCAAAAGCUAAUUUCACUUCAUCCAAACAAGGAUUCUUCUCUUCAAACAUGUUGAAAAGGUCAUUAGCAUCCAAUUUUUCUGGAAGCUUCCCUUCUUCAGGACUAAAAAAAAUUCCCAUACUGAUUAUAACUAUUUCCAUAUCUCCUUUACACACACUUUCAUCAACCAUCUUCUCUCUAAAGGACGGUUUCUUCUUGGAUAACUCAAAAUCUUUGUUCCUCCAGCCUGAACUUUGGGUUCACUGAACCUAAUGAAUCGGGAUUGGAUUGAAAAUUUGCAUUCUGUUAAAAAAAAAAAAAAAAACUGUGGAUUUUCUCUCCGUUCAGGAUUAUAUGGAGAAAGAGGAAAUGGACCAAUCCAAGAAUUAGACUGAUACGUUGAAUUGUAUUCAUCGAUAUGUUCUCUAGGGGCAAUUGAUUCAAAUAAAUGAGAGACAUGGCUAAUGAUUUUCUCUGAAUGACAAAAGGAUUAGAAUGUUUAAAAAAUAUAUCUUAAAUGCAGAUGGAGACCAGAUUGCUGGAAAUGAUAUGAUGAAAUUGAAAUUGAUAGCUUUCAAAUUUGAGGAAGGUGCUUGUGAGGUGCAGUCCAAGUCUUUUAAAAUUGUCAAAAACAUUAAGAAAU
Molecule: long non-coding RNA, 799 nt
Filed under: Olea europaea subsp. europaea
Lineage: Eukaryota; Viridiplantae; Streptophyta; Magnoliopsida; Lamiales; Oleaceae
Source: RNAcentral